Non-coding RNA from Otolemur garnettii (small-eared galago), 278 nucleotides. The record is from Rfam. NCBI's taxonomy places the organism in Eukaryota, Metazoa, Chordata, Mammalia, Primates, Galagidae.
GCCAGGUGCUGUGGCGGGCGCCUGUAGUCCCAGCUACUUGGGAGGCUGAGGCAGGAGACUCACUUGAGCCCAGGAGUUGGAGGUUGCUGUGAGCAUGAUGCCAUGGCACUCUACCCAGGGGGAUAGCUUGAGGCUCCGUUUCAAAAAAAAAAUGUACAAUACUUCUAGUUUUUUUUUUUUGAGAUAGAAUCUCAAGCUAUUGCCCUAGGUAGAGUGUCAUGGCAUCAUAGCUCACAGCAACUUCCAACUCUUGGGCUCAAGGGAUCCUCUUGCCUCAG